RNAcentral lists this ribosomal RNA (981 nucleotides) under uncultured bacterium. RNAcentral describes it as "bacterial SSU rRNA". It matches the Rfam family "Bacterial small subunit ribosomal RNA", at positions 521 to 1502 of the family's 1533-position model. The record is from RNAcentral.
UAAUACGAAGGGACCUAGCGUAGUUCGGAAUUACUGGGCUUAAAGAGUUCGUAGGUGGUUGAAAAAGUUGGUGGUGAAAUCCCAGAGCUUAACUCUGGAACUGCCAUCAAAACUUUUCAGCUAGAGUAUGAUAGAGGGAAGCAGAAUUUCUAGUGUAGAGGUGAAAUUCGUAGAUAUUAGAAAGAAUACCAAUUGCGAAGGCAGCUUUCUGGAUCAUUACUGACACUGAGGAACGAAAGCAUGGGUAGCGAAGAGGGUUAGAUACCCUCGUAGUCCAUGCCGUAAACGAUGUGUGUUAGACGUUGGAAAUUUAUUUUUCAGUGUCGCAGUGAAAGCGAUAAACACACCGCCUGGGGAGUACGACCGCAAGGUUAAAACUCAAAUGAAUUGACGGGGACCCGCACAAGUAGUGGAGCAUGUGGUUUAAUUCGAAGAUACGCGCAGAACCUUACCAACACUUGACAUGUUCGUCGCGACUCUAAGAGAUUAGAGUUUUCGGUUCGGCCGGACGAAACACAGGUGCUGCAUGGCUGUCGUCAGCUCGUGUCGUGAGAUGUUGGGUUAAGUCCCGUAACGAGCGCAACCCUCACUUUUAGUUGCCAUCAUUUAGUUGGGCACUCUGAAAGAACUGCCAGUGAUAAGCUGGAGGAAGGUGGGGAUGACGUCAAGUCCUCAUGGCCCUUACGUGUUGGGCUACACACGUGCUACAAUGGUAUCUACAACAGGAAGCAAAACGGCGACGUUAAGCAAAUCCUUAAAAGAUACCUCAGUUCGGAUUGCACUCUGCAACUCGAGUGCAUGAAGCUGGAAUUACUAGUAAUCGUGGAUCAGCGUGCCACGGUGAAUGCGUUCCCGGGUCUUGUACACACCGCCCGUCACACCAUGAAAGCCGGUUCUGCCCGAAGUAUGUGAGUCAACCGCAAGGAGACAGCGUCCUAAGGUGGGGCUGGUGAUUGGGAUGAAGUCGUAACAAGGUAGCCG